Molecule: ribosomal RNA, 407 nt
Filed under: uncultured microorganism
Description: bacterial SSU rRNA
Rfam family: Bacterial small subunit ribosomal RNA
Source: RNAcentral
GAGUUUGAUCUUGGCUCAGAUUGAACGCUGGCGGCAUGCCUUACACAUGCAAGUCGAGCGGCAGCAUGAUCUAGCUUGCUAGAUUGAUGGCGAGUGGCGAACGGGUGAGUAAUACAUCGGAACGUGCCCUGUAGUGGGGGAUAACUAGUCGAAAGAUUAGCUAAUACCGCAUACGACCUGAGGGUGAAAGUGGGGGACCGCAAGGCCUCAUGCUAUAGGAGCGGCCGAUGUCUGAUUAGCUAGUUGGUGGGGUAAAGGCCCACCAAGGCGACGAUCAGUAGCUGGUCUGAGAGGACGAUCAGCCACACUGGGACUGAGACACGGCCCAGACUCCUACGGGAGGCAGCAGUGGGGAAUUUUGGACAAUGGGCGAAAGCCUGAUCCAGCAAUGCCGCGUGUGUGAAGAA